AUGAACGGGCCGGUUGAUCAACUUGCAGCACCUGAAAUCGAGAAGUGUCUACUGCUGAGCUGGGAGACAAGGUUCCGUAUAAUCUAUGGGACGGCACGAGGUCUCCUAUACCUUCAUGAGGACUCACAGAUAAAGAUCAUACACCGCGAUCUCAAGGCAAGCAACAUCUUGCUAGACACCGACAUGAACCCCAAGAUCUCAGAUUUUGGCCUGGCAAGGCUCUUCAACAGUGACAAGCCGAGUACCACCACGGGCCAAGUCGUCGGAACAUUGUAA
RNAcentral lists this ribosomal RNA (276 nucleotides) under Triticum aestivum (bread wheat). Its description in RNAcentral is "partial small subunit ribosomal RNA". Lineage: Eukaryota; Viridiplantae; Streptophyta; Magnoliopsida; Poales; Poaceae. The record is from RNAcentral.